UCAUUUUAAGCACUGAAGGAAUAUAUAUGUUAUAAUGACACAAAGAUAUAACAGUAUAUGGAAUACACCCUUGCAUACAUCUUCUCCUUCAGCUACAAAGGAUACCACCUCGGAUCUCUCAUCGUUAUUGGACUGAAUGAGGAAACAGUUAAGCAUACAGGAAUUAUCUAGAAGAAUUAAUGGAGCGACAUGUAGGAUCACAUACUACUAAACUUGGUCAGUGUCAUCUACACUCGGUCAUUCAGUCUCCCCUCAUUAGAUUUUCUAAAAGAGAGCCUCCUCUCUGAAUUCUAUUAACACAAACCAAUUGUUCAUCUACAUCAUAAAGAAAACGAAGAAGGGAAGAAGAAACAGAAAUAGGAACAUUCAGGUAACCCCAGAGGGCACCCAAAACCCAUAGAUAUCUAGGAUCUGGAGCUUGCCCUUUCAGCGGCUGCGCAACAGAGACAAGAUAUUUCAUUGCUACUCCCUCCGUUCCAAAAUAGAUGACUCAACUUUGUAACUUUGUACUAAAGUUAAUACAAAGUAGACUCAUCUAUUUUGGAACGAAGGGAGUAGAUGAGAGUGAACAUACUCGCAAAAGCAGUCACCAACAAGCAGGAACAGUCCACAAAUGGCAAGAGUGGCUUUAAAAGUUUGAUUUCUCUGUGCACUUUAAUUGCUUUUAAGCUGCCAGUCAAACGACUUCAGGUCGCCAUCUUUGAGAUGCUCAGAAGACUUGAUUUUUGUCACUUGCUCGAAGAGCUUUACUCCCCAAAUCAGCGCUAAUCUGCAAAAUUGACCAUGAGUUUAACCAAAUAACAAACCACAUGAAUCAGAACAAAAGUAUCAGACACCGCUUUUAUUCUCAAAACAGGCCUCAUUCAUAAAUCUCCAAAUCUUCCAUAAUACAGCAGCCAACCCCACUGCGAUACAAAAAAUUGUCAUGGUGUUUUCAAUCUAAGCCCUCAGAACCUAAAGAAGUCAUGAUUAGUAUCAGGUACAAUUUUCAGAUUAAAAGUGAACUGCAAAAUGGUUCAGAUCAACUAAGUAUCCCAUCUCCGCCAUGUAACUAACAUGCUUUAUUCCUGUUCCACAUUUGCAAAGUAUCUCCCCAAAGGGUCCUUGUAAAUCGCUCUGAUUCCCAUAUGAUUUAAUUUUAAUGUAGCUGAUUUGAACAUUAACAAAAUAGUCACCGAAAUAAGUUUGACAUAUUGAACAGAAAUAUGGUUUGUGGAUAAUAUGCUUGGGACGGAUUCGAUAAGAGAACAACAAUCAAAUAAUAUGACUUGUACCACUCGCACUUAAAACUGACUAAUAGAAAGGAAACCAGGAAUAAUUUUCCGACAAUGUGAUCAUCAGCGAUUCAACAUCAAACACAGCUAACCCUACAGUUUGCGCUCAGUAUGAUCAGGACGAAUUCGACAUGACAACCACAAUUGAACAUGACGACUUGCAGGAUUCACACAUAAACUACAUAACGGAUAGGAAGCCAACUUAAUAAACUGAUAUACAGUUCUCUAGCCACAUUAUCAGGAUGAGCUGAAUGAGAAGUUGAGAACAACCACAAUUGAUCACAUUUCAGUUGCAACCUUGAAGCUUAAACUGCUCAACAGAAACAAAACAACCUGAUAUUAGUAGCUCAGAAGAAGCCAACAGCAGCAGACUAACGAUGAUGGAUUUGUCCAUUUUGCAUCGCAUCACCAUUGAGAGCCACAUCAGAGAUCAGUGAGUCCUUGCUAGCGAUAACAAUCUGCCACGAUCUGAAAAAUUACCAAGCACAAAACUCAUAACCAACCGACUGAUCCUUUUGUCCAC
This 1797-nucleotide long non-coding RNA is filed under the name Triticum aestivum (bread wheat). RNAcentral describes it as "long non-coding RNA (TAES_LNC026494)". Lineage: Eukaryota; Viridiplantae; Streptophyta; Magnoliopsida; Poales; Poaceae. The record is from RNAcentral.